This 913-nucleotide long non-coding RNA is filed under the name Rattus norvegicus (Norway rat). Its description in RNAcentral is "long non-coding RNA NONRATT026464". The record is from RNAcentral. Lineage: Eukaryota; Metazoa; Chordata; Mammalia; Rodentia; Muridae.
AGGUCCCUGCAUGUGGCUGGCCCCGUUCCCUCUAUGUGUUCUCAGUGUGUGCUGUGUGUACUUCACAUACCUUAAAGGAGCAGAGAGCCCCUCCCCACCCUGUGCCAGCACAGGCUGAUCACCCUGACCCCAGGUCUCAGAACAUGUCUCAGAUGGCCCCAGUCCUUUGGCGAGCUGUGGUGACACCAGGCCAGCCCAUGGGCUGGUGCCUCUCCUGCCUAAGUCCCAAAGCAGCCUAUGACAGGACGGGCAAACAGCACAGCUCAGCAGCUGGCCGUGGGGCCUUGGGCAGGGGUCAUCAUCCUCCUGUUCCAAAUACCAGCAGCUGCUCUGUAAGGUCACAUUGGUGUCCCUGCUGUGUUGCCAGUCCCCUCCCCAACCUGCAAAGCUUCCUCCAGCCUGUGAGUGCAGAAGUGAGUCCUGGCAGGAGGACCAGAGUCACUCUCUUGAGUUUUGUAGCCCCCACAGUUGUGUGUUCUUUGUACUGUCAAGUAGGUCAUGGGAUGGACAGCCGACCAGCCAUGGCCAUCUUUGAGCUGCUGGACUACAUAGUGAAUGAGCCACCUCCCAAGCUGCCCAGUGGUGUGUUCAGCUCAGACUUCCAGGAGUUUGUGAAUAAAUGUCUCAUUAAGAACCCAGCAGAGCGUGCAGACCUCAAGCUGCUGACGAACCAUGCCUUCAUCAAACGCUCUGAGGGGGAGGACGUGGACUUCGCUGGCUGGCUAUGCAGAACCCUGCGGCUGAAGCAGCCCAGCACACCCACGCGUACUGCAGUGUGACAGCCAUCGCUCAGCAGUCUGUGUCCUUGUCCCUGUGGGCACAGCGGCCGCCUUUGGGGACAGCAGUGGUGUGUGUUGUGGCAGGGGACCUGUGCCUGUGCAUUUGGAAAAGCAAACAAAGUGGAGAAAGAGAG